RNAcentral lists this ribosomal RNA (429 nucleotides) under Acidobacteriota bacterium. RNAcentral's name for it is "Acidobacteria bacterium partial 16S ribosomal RNA". It matches the Rfam family "Bacterial small subunit ribosomal RNA", at positions 355 to 776 of the family's 1533-position model. The record is from RNAcentral. Lineage: Bacteria; Pseudomonadati; Acidobacteriota.
UGGGGAAUUUUGGACAAUGGGGGAAACCCUGAUCCAGCCAUCCCGCGUGUGCGAUGAAGGCCUUCGGGUUGUAAAGCACUUUUGGCAGGAAAGAAACGUCAUGGGUUAAUACCCCGUGAAACUGACGGUACCUGCAGAAUAAGCACCGGCUAACUACGUGCCAGCAGCCGCGGUUAUACGUAGGGUGCAAGCGUUAAUCGGAAUUACUGGGCGUAAAGCGUGCGCAGGCGGUUCGGAAAGAAAGAUGUGAAAUCCCAGAGCUCAACUUUGGAACUGCAUUUUUAACUACCGGGCUAGAGUGUGUCAGAGGGAGGUGGAAUUCCGCGUGUAGCAGUGAAAUGCGUAGAUAUGCGGAGGAACACCGAUGGCGAAGGCAGCCUCCUGGGAUAACACUGACGCUCAUGCACGAAAGCGUGGGGAGCAAACAGG